UACGAAGGGGGCUAGCGUUGCUCGGAAUGACUGGGCGUAAAGGGCGCGUAGGCGGAUCGCGCAGUCGGGUGUGAAAGCCCCGGGCUCAACCCGGGGCGGUCGCCGGAGACGGGUGGUCUGGAGUGGGGGAGAGGGUAGCGGAAUUCCCAGUGUAGAGGUGAAAUUCGUAGAUAUUGGGAAGAACACCGGUGGCGAAGGCGGCGUCCUGGACCUUUACUGACGCUGAGGCGCGAAAGCGUGGGGAGCAAACAGG
Molecule: ribosomal RNA, 253 nt
Filed under: uncultured bacterium
Lineage: Bacteria
Description: partial 16S ribosomal RNA
Rfam family: Bacterial small subunit ribosomal RNA
Source: RNAcentral